GAUGAACGCUGGCGGCGUGCCUAACACAUGCAAGUCGAACGAAGCGCCUUACCGGAUUCUUCGGAUGAAGGUCUGGUGACUGAGUGGCGGACGGGUGAGUAACGCGUGGGUAACCUGCCCUGUACAGGGGGAUAACAGCUGGAAACGGCUGCUAAUACCGCAUAAGCGCACGAGGAGACAUCUCCUUGUGUGAAAAACUCCGGUGGUACAGGAUGGGCCCGCGUCUGAUUAGCUGGUUGGCAGGGUAACGGCCUACCAAGGCAACGAUCAGUAGCCGGUCUGAGAGGAUGGACGGCCACAUUGGAACUGAGACGCGGUCCAGACUCCUACGGGAGGCAGCAGUGGGGAAUAUUGCACAAUGGGGGAAACCCUGAUGCAGCAACGCCGCGUGAGUGAAGAAGUAUUUCGGUAUGUAAAGCUCUAUCAGCAGGGAAGAUAAUGACGGUACCUGACGAAGAAGCUCCGGCUAAAUACGUG
Molecule: ribosomal RNA, 477 nt
Filed under: uncultured bacterium
Lineage: Bacteria
Description: partial 16S ribosomal RNA
Rfam family: Bacterial small subunit ribosomal RNA
Source: RNAcentral